Molecule: ribosomal RNA, 465 nt
Filed under: Vreelandella stevensii
Lineage: Bacteria; Pseudomonadati; Pseudomonadota; Gammaproteobacteria; Oceanospirillales; Halomonadaceae
Description: partial 16S ribosomal RNA
Rfam family: Bacterial small subunit ribosomal RNA
Source: RNAcentral
CCUACGGGGGGCUGCAGUGGGGAAUAUUGGACAAUGGGGGCAACCCUGAUCCAGCCAUGCCGCGUGUGUGAAGAAGGCCCUCGGGUUGUAAAGCACUUUCAGUGAGGAAGAACGCCUGGUGGUUAAUACCCAUCAGGAAAGACAUCACUCACAGAAGAAGCACCGGCUAACUCCGUGCCAGCAGCCGCGGUAAUACGGAGGGUGCGAGCGUUAAUCGGAAUUACUGGGCGUAAAGCGCGCGUAGGUGGCUUGAUAAGCCGGUUGUGAAAGCCCCGGGCUCAACCUGGGAACGGCAUCCGGAACUGUCAAGCUAGAGUGCAGGAGAGGAAGGUAGAAUUCCCGGUGUAGCGGUGAAAUGCGUAGAGAUCGGGAGGAAUACCAGUGGCGAAGGCGGCCUUCUGGACUGACACUGACACUGAGGUGUGAAAGCGUGGGUAGCAAACAGGAUUAGAUACCCGGGUAGUC